Molecule: long non-coding RNA, 1437 nt
Organism: Lolium rigidum
Lineage: Eukaryota; Viridiplantae; Streptophyta; Magnoliopsida; Poales; Poaceae
Exons: 2
Source: RefSeq, a predicted model, not a curated record
GAUCUGCAGCUCGCUGUCAUCUUGCAGCUUGUCAGACGAGGGACGCCGUGGAAUUAGGUUAUCUUUUGGAGGCUCCGCGUCGCCGGGAUCUGAAACCGGCGCCAUCCAUCCAAGUGGAUCUGGCUCUAGAUACGAAAGUGAGGCCAGAUUCGUCAGUCGCCAUCCUCAGGCACGUCGUCGGUGCCUGAGAUUCCGGCCAAGUCCACGCUCGCCGGGCAUCCGGCUCUCCUUAUUUUUUCUGGCGCUUUGUGGUAUGGUUAUGACUGUCAAUUUUUGCAGUUCAAAAUCUGCUUGUGUUUGGCGAAUUAAAAAUUGUAGACAUCUUCUAGUAUUUAAGGUAUUGUUGCUUCUAUGCUUUCUAAUUUUAGUUGUGCAAAACACCGUGAGAUAAUGAAAAAUAAGAUCGACCUGGCACUAGCUUUUCCUGCUUGCAGGCUGCGAUCAUGUAAUAUGUCACUGACCUCCAACAGACCAAUGGUGCUAAAGGGCACAUGUGCUGAAAAAUACCCUAAUCUGCCAUAUGCUAGUUAUACUUAUAUAGCUUAUCUGCAGUGUGUGAUUCUCCUUUUUUUUUCUUCUCUAGUAUCUUUGACAUCUUGGUGUUUUAUCUUCUCAGCUGUAGUAAUUUCAUGAGGCUUACUUCAUGUUUUGUGAAUUUAAAUAUACAGGCCUGCUGAAUCAGCUUCUUCUGAGCUUCGGUCCUCUGUUUGGGCGGAUGACAUCUGUAAUUUCAUGGGUUCCGCAAAGAGGCACUGUACAGAAAAGAGCAAGAUACCUGUAGAUAGGGACGUAAUCAGAAAACAGCUAAUAAGUGAUUCUGGAAGAGUAUUUAAGUCAAAAAUUCCGGAGCAGAUAAGGGAAGACCUGAUUCAAUCCUUUAUAUUAUACUUCCAUGACAUAUUUGAUGGAUGCUAAAGCUUUUUCGUGGAAUUUUUUCUAAAGGUAAUAAUAAUAAUAAGCUUACCAAUAUUUUUUCACAACCGGUGCAAACAUAAUCUUACUGAAAAUUCCAUGUCUCAUGCGGAAAUGCAUGUUUUUGGUUAUGGUGAUGAUCCUAUUGUCCAGUUGGUAUAUUUACAAUAUUGCCCUUCAGUACUAACAGGUUGCCGUGCUUCACUAUGUAGGUGGCGGUGGAAUCCUGUUGGUCUACUACUCUACUACGAGCUACUUGUGCCUUCUGCUGCUUAUUUUUUUUAGGAAAUUUUUGUUUUCUAAGAUGAGAUGAGAAGUAGAGUGGCCAACUCAGUUUGCUUUCGUUCUAUAUGCUAUGGGCUUGUAACCCCAGUCUCGUUCCACCCCUUCUGUUUGUACUAUGCAGCAAAUUAUCUCUGUCUUUCUAAUAGACAUACCAUAGAUGGUACACUAUGAGUUACCACAAUGUACUCUAUGGAACAGUAUCAAAGGACAAAAUGCUUAAGAAAAUUUUCCUUUAUCCAA